Long non-coding RNA from Armigeres subalbatus, 2754 nucleotides. RefSeq lists it as uncharacterized. The record is from RefSeq and is a predicted model, not a curated record. Lineage: Eukaryota; Metazoa; Arthropoda; Insecta; Diptera; Culicidae. The transcript has 2 exons.
UAUAAAUGAACAACAGUUUGCCCUUCGCCUUGUACUGUUUCAAUGCAGUAUGGUCCUAAGUAUUCUUACUCCUUAGAACCCCGUUACACACCCCACAGCUUGAGUCCUGAAGGGUAGGGGGAGAUUAUGCAGGCACGUUCUCAUGCACACAAUGCAAAGAGGCGGAGGCAACGUCAGCAUGGCUAUAAAGGCGACAAGGUUGAAGUUGUUUCUUGGUCGCUGUAGUAAAAGCAACGGAUUAUGGAUGAAGCAUGGUCUUGGAAUAGACGAGUGGUUGAGUGGGAGAGUAAGAGUGAGUAAGAGUUAAUAGGUUAAUGAGAGUAAGUUAAAUUAAGUGAAUGAGUAAUAGAGAACCCGAGUAGCACACUUAUCAUAUAUCAGUCACUGUGACUCAUAUGCGACCGAAUCCAGUCUCAUUGGAGUUGCUGCAAUCAAAUCGAUCUGAACUGUGCUACUAGGGAAUGAAUAAGUGAGUAAACGGGUUUAGAGUCAUUUGGCCGAAUGCCAUUUGGCCGAAAGGGUAAUUUGGCCGAACGCCAUUUGGCCGAAUGCCGUUUGGCCGAAUUGUUGAAGUACGUUUCCUUAUGAAGUGAGAAGUGAGUAGUGCGAAGCAAGAAAUGUUUGUGGUGGGAAGCAAGAAGUGAGAAGUGACAAAUGAGAAAUGAGUAGCUUGAAGAUAUUGGUAAAAAUGUAUUGGUAAAAAAGAGAUGUGAUAGGUAAGAAGUGAUAAGUGAGAUAGCAAGUAGCAAUCAUUUUGAAUCUCUGAAUAAAAAGAAAAAACGGAAGAAGAAAGGAAAGGAAUAAGGAAAAAGUAAGAAGGAAAAAGGAAGAAGAAAAAAUUAAGAAGGAAGAAGGAAGGGAAGAAGGAAGUAGAAAGAAGAAAGUAGGAAGAAGGAAGAAGGACGAAGGAAGAAGGAAGAAGCAAGAAGGAAGAAGGAAAACGGAAGAAGGAAAAAGGAAGAAGGAAGAAGGGAGAAGAAAGAAGGAAGAAGGAAGAAAGAAGAAAAAAGAAGGAAGAAGGAAGAAGCGAGUAAAAAGAUAGAGGAAGAAAAAAAGAAGCAAGAAGAAAGAAUUAAGAAGAAAAUCGGAGGAAGGAAGAAGGAAGAAAGGAGGAUAAAGGACCACUCCUAAACUGAGAUAACCUUCCAGGUAACCAGGAAGAAGGAAGAAGGACGAAGGAAGAAAGAAGAAGGAAAAAGUAAGAAGCCAAACGGAAGAAGGAAAAAGGAAGAAGGAAGAAGAAAGAAGAAGGAAGAAGGAAGAAGAAAUAAGAAAGAAAGAAGAAGGAAGAAGGAAGCAGGAAGAAGCAGCAGUAAGGUAGAUGGAAGAAGAAAGAAGGAAGAAGAGAAAAAGACAGCACACAUGUUCCACAUACUGCAGCUCCUAUGUGACCAGAUUUAGUCACAAGGAAGUUACUGCAACCAUUUUAGUCUGAUAUGUGUUGCUUGGUAAGAUAGAGGAAGGAAAAAAAGAAGCAAGAAGAAAGUAUGAAGAAGGAAGUUGGAGGAAGGAAGAAGGAAGAAAGGAGCACGAAGGACCACCCCUAAACUGAAGUAAAUGAAUCAGAAUGAAAAGGAAAAAGAAGGGAAAGGAAGAAAAAAGGAAAGGAAGAAGGAAGUAGGAAGAAGCAAAACGGAGGAAGGAAGAAGGAAAAAGGAAGAAGGAGGAAGGAAGAAGGAGGAAAGAAGAAGGAAGAAGGCAGAAAGAAGAAGGAAGAAAGAAGAAAACAGAAAGAAAAAGGAAGAUGAGAGGAAACCCUUCCGAUUUUUUUACCAUUUCAUUUACUUAUUAGGCUAAUUAAAAACUCUACGAAGCCGAAAGCAUUAGAAAUAAUACUAAAAAUUAUUCCGAAGAAGUUUCAAAAGUAUCUUGUAUGCGGGAUGUCUCUUUGGUGGAGAUCGCUCGCCCGAUCCCACAGUUAUAAAGUGUUCCCGUCGUUGAGUUGUCGACUGCGCUAGUUUCUUUUCCUCUUCAUCCUCUUUAAUCUUUCUGUGGAGGUCUGUGUAGCCCAUGAUUCCCUUCUUCACAAACCAGAUCCGAUCCGUUUUGUUUUUGAAGAACAUUGUUUCCGCUAACUUCUCGCGUUCUACCAUCGAAUCCGGUAUCUCGAAUGUUUCCAUUCGCAGGAGGAAGCAGCAAUAGGAAACAAGGAAAAAGGAAGAUAGAAGAAGGAAGUAGAAAGAAGAAAGAAGGAAGAUGGAAGAAAUAAGAAGGAAGAAAGAAGAAGAAAGAAGAAAGAAGAAAAAAGGAAGAAGGAAGAAGGGAGACACAAGAUAGAGGAAGGAAAAAAGGAAAAAGGGAGAAAGAAGAAGAAAGAAGGAAGAAGGGAGACACAAGAUAGAGGAAGGAAAAAAAAUAAGAAGAAAGAAGAAGGAAAAAAGAAGCUAGAAGAAAGAAGAAAGAUGAAGAAGGAAGUAGAAGAAAGGAAGAAAGAAGGAUGAAGGAUGAAGGACCACUCCUAAACUGAGGUAUUUUUUUACCUAUUCGGCCAAACGGCAUUCGGCCAAAUGGCGUUCGGCCAAAUGGCCUGACACCGAGUAAAGUGAAAGAGUGAGUAAAUAUGAGUGCGUGAAUGAGCAAGAGUGAGUGAGUUAGUAUGAGUGAGUUAAUGAACAAGAGUGAGCAAGUGAGUAAAAGUAAGCGAGUGAGUAAGCGAAAAGGAGCGAGUAACAAUGAGUACAUGAGUAAAAUAGAGUGAGUAAGAGUGAGUGAAUGAGUAAGAUAGAAUGAGCAAUUAAAAGUGAGUGAGUGAGU